Molecule: ribosomal RNA, 252 nt
Filed under: uncultured bacterium
Lineage: Bacteria
Description: partial 16S ribosomal RNA
Rfam family: Bacterial small subunit ribosomal RNA
Source: RNAcentral
UACGGAGGAUCCAAGCGUUAUCCGGAAUCAUUGGGUUUAAAGGGUCCGUAGGCGGUUUGGUAAGUCAGUGGUGAAAGCCCAUCGCUCAACGGUGGAACGGCCAUUGAUACUGCCAGACUUGAAUUAUUAGGAAGUAACUAGAAUAUGUAGUGUAGCGGUGAAAUGCUUAGAGAUUACAUGGAAUACCAAUUGCGAAGGCAGGUUACUACUAAUGGAUUGACGCUGAUGGACGAAAGCGUGGGUAGGAACAGG